This is a long non-coding RNA of Mytilus californianus (California mussel), 424 nucleotides long. RefSeq lists it as uncharacterized. The record is from RefSeq and is a predicted model, not a curated record. Lineage: Eukaryota; Metazoa; Mollusca; Bivalvia; Mytilida; Mytilidae. The transcript has 2 exons.
AUAAAUGCACGAGAAAUGCACCAUUGAUAUCAUCUCCUCAUUUCAAACCGGGCAGAACAGUAUCCAUAACACAGCUGUAAAAUGAACGUCAAGUGCACAUUUGCGGUCGUAGCAGUGCUAUUAUUAGUCAACAACAUAGCAGCGAGCGGUGGAUAUGGCCCCGUGGGAAUAGGUGGUUUUAGAGGAAUUUUGUCGUCAGGAUAUGGUGAUCCCCGAUUUUGGAUGAAAUACGUCCCCAAACAGUACCAAGGAAUUGUACAGAGAUAUGCUACUGGUAACAUUGCCAGAUCUUUUGUGUCUCAAUGGCUCAAUCAGAAUAAAAAAUACUAAAAAUGUGUUGUAUGAAUUCAGUAUAAUCAUACCUAUUACUUUGUAUAAUAUAUUGUUUUCAAUAAAAGAAGACUUUUGUCGAUAUGAUAUUUGA